CGUGAGACAGGUUAGUUUUACCCUACUAAUGACAAAACGUUGUUGCGACAGCAUUCCUGCGUAGUACGAGAGGAACCGCAGGUACGGACCAAUGGCACAAUACUUGUUCGAGCGAACAGUGGUAUGACGCUACGUCCGUUGGAUUAUGCCUGAACGCCUCUAAGGUCGUAUCCGUGCUGGACUGCAAUGAUAAAUAAGGGGCAAUUUGCAUUGUAUGGCUUCUAAACCAUUUAAAGUUUAUAAUUUAUUUUAUAAACGACAAUGGAUGUGAUGCCAAUGUAAUUUGUAACAUAGUAAAUUAGGAGGAUCUUCGAUCACCUGAUGCCGCGCUAGUUACAUAUAAAAGCAUUAUUUAAUACAAUGACAAAGCCUAGAAUCAAUUGUAAACGACUUUUGUAACAGGCAAGGUGUUGUAAGUGGUUGAGCAGCUGCCAUACUGCGAUCCACUGAAGCUUAUCCUUUGCUUGAUGAUUCGA
This 476-nucleotide non-coding RNA is filed under the name Drosophila sechellia. RNAcentral's name for it is "Eukaryotic large subunit ribosomal RNA". It matches the Rfam family "Eukaryotic large subunit ribosomal RNA", at positions 2972 to 3401 of the family's 3401-position model. The record is from Rfam by way of RNAcentral. Lineage: Eukaryota; Metazoa; Arthropoda; Insecta; Diptera; Drosophilidae.